Molecule: ribosomal RNA, 465 nt
Filed under: Vreelandella stevensii
Lineage: Bacteria; Pseudomonadati; Pseudomonadota; Gammaproteobacteria; Oceanospirillales; Halomonadaceae
Description: partial 16S ribosomal RNA
Rfam family: Bacterial small subunit ribosomal RNA
Source: RNAcentral
CCUACGGGCGGCAGCAGUGGGGAAUAUUGGACAAUGGGCGAAAGCCUGAUCCAGCCAUGCCGCGUGUGUGAAGAAGGCCUUCGGGUUGUAAAGCACUUUCAGUGGGGAAGAAAGCCUUGGGGCUAAUACCCUCGAGGAAGGACAUCACCCACAGAAGAAGCACCGGCUAACUCCGUGCCAGCAGCCGCGGUAAUACGGAGGGUGCGAGCGUUCAUCGGAAUUACUGGGCGUAAAGCGCGCGUAGGCGGUCUGAUAAGCCGGUUGUGAAAGCCCCGGGCUCAACCUGGGAACGGCAUCCGGAACUGUCAGGCUAGAGUGCAGGAGAGGAAGGUAGAAUUCCCGGUGUAGCGGUGAAAUGCGUAGAGAUCGGGAGGAAUACCAGUGGCGAAGGCGGCCUUCUGGACUGACACUGACGCUGAGGUGCGAAAGCGUGGGUAGCAAACAGGAUUAGAUACCCUGGUAGUC